AGUGUUGUAGCUCGGUGGUAGAAUGCAUAUCUCACACAUGUGAGGCACUGGGUUUGAUCCUCAGCACCACAU
RNAcentral lists this transfer RNA (72 nucleotides) under Marmota monax (woodchuck). RNAcentral describes it as "tRNA.Val". The record is from RNAcentral. Lineage: Eukaryota; Metazoa; Chordata; Mammalia; Rodentia; Sciuridae.